UACGUAGGGACCGAGCGUUGUCCGGAUUUAUUGGGCGUAAAGAGUUCGUAGGCGGCCCUGUAAGUCAGAAGUUAAAAUGUAAGGCUCAACCUUGCAUUGCUUUUGAUACUGCAGAGCUUGAGUAUGGCAGGGGAGAAGGGAAUUCCACGUGUAGCGGUGAAAUGCGCAGAUAUGUGGAGGAACACCAGUGGCGAAGGCGCUUCUCUGGGCCAUUACUGACGCUGAGGAACGAAAGCGUGGGGAGCGAACAGG
RNAcentral lists this ribosomal RNA (252 nucleotides) under uncultured bacterium. RNAcentral describes it as "partial 16S ribosomal RNA". It matches the Rfam family "Bacterial small subunit ribosomal RNA", at positions 524 to 776 of the family's 1533-position model. The record is from RNAcentral.